Molecule: non-coding RNA, 179 nt
Filed under: Blautia sp.
Lineage: Bacteria; Bacillati; Bacillota; Clostridia; Lachnospirales; Lachnospiraceae
Source: RNAcentral
CGUUACAUUCAGGAUAUAAGUUGCAAUAAGCAUUGAUAGAGAAAACGGUGUCAAUCCGUUGCGGUCCCGCCACUGUGACAGGGAGCCGAGAACAUGAGCCACUGGAAGAGAAAAAUUCCGGGAAGGAGUUUGAGGUGAUGAACUGAAGUCAGGAGAACUGCUUAUAUCUUUGAGAUGUU